AUUUAUAUAGUAUAACUAGUAUAUAUGACUUCCAAUCAUAAGGUUUAUCCAUCGAUAAUAUAAAUA
Molecule: transfer RNA, 66 nt
Filed under: Anthomyza sp. DY-2021
Lineage: Eukaryota; Metazoa; Arthropoda; Insecta; Diptera; Anthomyzidae
Description: tRNA-Gly
Source: RNAcentral